GGAGAGAUGGCUCAGCGGUUAAGAGCACUGACUGCUCUUCCAGAGACCUGAGUUCAAUUCCCAGCAAUUCCA
Rattus norvegicus (Norway rat) is the source of this 72-nucleotide non-coding RNA. The record is from Rfam. NCBI's taxonomy places the organism in Eukaryota, Metazoa, Chordata, Mammalia, Rodentia, Muridae.